AACCAGUUUUCGCAGAACUGGGGAGUGAUUUAGUGGUUCCUCUCACUGCAACCGUGGUUGGUCCAAGUAGAUUUUCAGUUAAUGGUGAUUGAUUCGGUAAAUUUUAUACAGAAAUUAGGGUAUUAAUGAUUCUUUGAUUGAGAAUUGGUUCUGAUGCUGAUAGAAAAGAAAAGGUUUUGGUAAUUUCUUUCACUAUAGGCAGUAGGAAUACGAGUUUCCUUUCUGAAACAGUUUUCUUUUACACGCUAUUUUUGUUUAUGUUAUCCGAGAGCUUGAUGACUAAAAUAUUCGUGCCUUGCUUAUUGGGAAUUUGCAGAAGUUGAAGAUAGGAUAGAGACUGAAGAUUAUGAGAAAUUGGCGAAGGAGAUGGACCACGCCUCCCCGCUUGAAAUUUUUGAUAAAGCCCUCGAGAAAUUUGGCAUCGCCAUUGCAUUUAGGUGAUGGAAGGAUCAUAUGUUGAAUUAUCAGAGAAGCUAGCAGGUAGUGGGGUGAAGUUCAGGGCUGAUGGUGAGCGAAAGGCAUAUGCACAGGAAGAGCUGCUGCUGCUAGGGAGCUUUCCCACAAUACUCUUUUUCCUCAAACCCUUGUCCUGCCCCAUCAAGUACACCACUCGGAGAAGAGAGAUGUCGAUUCAUUGAUGGCUUUCAUAAAUGCUCUGUGAUGAUUAUAACUGAUAUCCCUGCUAUCAAGAAUUCAGUAAUUUGGAUGCUGAAAUAGAACUAUAUAAUAUGGGAUUUGCCUGGAUGCUCCUCCUUGGCCUAUAUAUUCCCAGCAAUGGAAUGCACCAGCGGUUGUUAUUGUAUAUUCAUGGUAUGCAUAGAUUUUUCCUUUUUUAUUCUUGGGAAGGGGGUGUUUCUUUUCUUGAUCUUAGUCAGAAAUUCCUCCCGUCGUGCUUUAGUUCAGUAGAGUAGGAAUUGGGUGAGAUCGAUAAUCUCCUCGGGGUUUGCAGAAUAAGAGCAAACAUGGCUCUCAUUUGUAACAUUACAAUUUAAGCUAAUCUUGGAUUCCCAUUUUUCUGCG
Molecule: long non-coding RNA, 1020 nt
Organism: Juglans microcarpa x Juglans regia
Lineage: Eukaryota; Viridiplantae; Streptophyta; Magnoliopsida; Fagales; Juglandaceae
Exons: 2
Source: RefSeq, a predicted model, not a curated record